AUACGGAAGGUCCGGGCGUUAUCCGGAUUUAUUGGGUUUAAAGGGAGCGCAGGCGGAGAUGCAAGCGUGACGUCAAAUUUCGGGGCUCAACCCCGUCUCGCGUCGCGAACUGCGUCCCUUGGUUGCGGGAAGGGGAGGCGGAACUCGUGGUGUAGCGGGGAAAUGCAUAGAUAUCACGAAGAACUCCGAUCGCGAAGGCAGCCUUCCGGCCCGUCAACGACGCUCAUGCUCGAAGGUGCGGGUAUCAAACAGGAUUAGAUACCCUGGUAGUCCGUACAGUAAACGAUGGACACCCGCGGUUUGGCCUGUAUGGCUGAGCCGCCAAGCGAAAGCGUUAAGUGUCCCACCUGGGGAGUACGCCGGCAACGGUGAAACUCAAAUGAAUUGACGGGG
Molecule: ribosomal RNA, 393 nt
Filed under: uncultured bacterium
Lineage: Bacteria
Description: partial 16S ribosomal RNA
Rfam family: Bacterial small subunit ribosomal RNA
Source: RNAcentral